UACAGAGGUCUCAAGCGUUGUUCGGAUUCAUUGGGCGUAAAGGGUGCGUAGGUGGCGCGGUAAGUCGGGUGUGAAAUUUCGGAGCUUAACUCCGGAACUGCAUUCGAUACUGCCGUGCUUGAGGACUGGAGAGGAGACUGGAAUUUACGGUGUAGCAGUGAAAUGCGUAGAGAUCGUAAGGAAGACCAGUGGCGAAGGCGGGUCUCUGGACAGUUCCUGACACUGAGGCACGAAGGCCAGGGGAGCAAACGGG
Molecule: ribosomal RNA, 253 nt
Filed under: uncultured bacterium
Lineage: Bacteria
Description: partial 16S ribosomal RNA
Rfam family: Bacterial small subunit ribosomal RNA
Source: RNAcentral